AAGAGUUGCAAAACUCCACCAUUAACCUAUCGGUAAUUCGUUACCUCAGACGUCGUGCUUCAGCGGCCUACCGCCCCUUGCGGGGGGACGCUACCCCGGGCACUACUCUGCAGUUAUUAUGGCUUCUGUGAGUAUGACUUUUAAAUAAGUUA
This 152-nucleotide unclassified non-coding RNA is filed under the name soil metagenome. RNAcentral describes it as "partial internal transcribed spacer 1". The record is from RNAcentral.